GGCAGGUUGCCCGAGCGGCCAAUGGGAGCGGACUGUAAAUCCGUCGGCGUGAGCCUACCCAGGUUCGAAUCCUGGACCUGCCA
RNAcentral lists this transfer RNA (83 nucleotides) under Mycobacteriaceae bacterium. RNAcentral's name for it is "tRNA-Tyr". It matches the Rfam family "tRNA". Rfam says of the family: Transfer RNA (tRNA) molecules are approximately 80 nucleotides in length. Lineage: Bacteria; Bacillati; Actinomycetota; Actinomycetes; Mycobacteriales; Mycobacteriaceae. The record is from RNAcentral.